Molecule: ribosomal RNA, 505 nt
Filed under: uncultured bacterium
Lineage: Bacteria
Description: partial 16S ribosomal RNA
Rfam family: Bacterial small subunit ribosomal RNA
Source: RNAcentral
AGUGAACGCUGGCGGUAGGCCCAACACAUGCAAGUCGAACGGCAGCACAGGAGAGCUUGCUCUCUGGGUGGCGAGUGGCGGACGGGUGAGGAAUACAUCGGAAUCUACUCUGUCGUGGGGGAUAACGUAGGGAAACUUACGCUAAUACCGCAUACGACCUACGGGUGAAAGCAGGGGACCUUCGGGCCUUGCGCGAUCGAAUGAGCCGAUGUCGGAGUAGCUAGUUGGCGGGGUAAAGGCCCACCAAGGCGACGAUCCGUAGCUGGUCUGAGAGGACGGUCGGCCACACUGGGACGGAGACACGGCCGAGACUCCGACGGGUGGCAGCAGUGGGGAAUCUUGCGCAAUGGGCGAAAGCCUGACGCAGCGACGCCGCGUGAGGGAAGAAGGCUUUCGGGUUGUAAACCUCUUUCAGGAGGGACGAAGCUACUCGGGUGAAUAGCCCAGAGGGUGACGGUACCUCCAGAAGAAGCCCCGGCUAACUACGUGCCAGCCGCCGCCGUAA